Long non-coding RNA from Heterocephalus glaber (naked mole-rat), 1684 nucleotides. Lineage: Eukaryota; Metazoa; Chordata; Mammalia; Rodentia; Bathyergidae. The record is from Ensembl.
GCUGGUGAGAAGGCACAGACAGGCACUUGAGCAGCCAGCAGUGUGACUCGGCUCCCCAUGCUCAGAUCAGGGGUCAGCACCUAUAGGCUGUGGCAGACUGUAGAAGCAGAGGAUGCCACAUUUUCCAGCGCUAAGGUGGUGACAUUAAGUUCGAUUUCUUGACAAGCUGACCAAGGCCUAAAGGCUAGCUAUUUCCAGAAGUCCUCAUAUCAAACUCAGAAACUCCCCAUUCUUCUAGCCUAGCUUCCUAGAAACACUGAAUCCUGACAUCCCACAGUACAAAUUCCUCAAGUUCAAGGACCCUUGGGAAGAAGAGAUGGCUGAAGCAAUAGCCCUGGCCCCUGGAGGACAAUCAUCUUGGUGGGGAUGUCAGUGAAGAAGUGGGAGAAAAUGAGGACCACGGCGAUCGUGACACCACUGCGAGAUGUAGGAGUCACUGUAACACCUAUCUUACAGAUGAGGAGUCAGAAGAGAGAGGUCAAGUUCCGGGGGCAGGAUGACAUGGAAGAGUUGACACUAGAUCCCAGCCCAAUAUGACUCCAUAAUUUCACCCUCUUAUCCAAUGCCUACUACCUCUUCCUACAAAAAGAGAAAAAAAAGCUUUGAAAACAGGCUUUGCUGAUCACUCAAAUUUUCUGGUAAAUAAAAAUGCAAUCAGUUCCAAAUUAUACAUUUGAAAAAGUUUCUGAAACGUUUAUGGUCCCUUUCCUGCCUUAAUAAGUAUAGUACACUAAAUAUAAACCUAGUUCUGCUUUAUGAAUAAACUCUUCUGAGACUAUCUGCUAGCUACAGGCCUUAUGGACCAGUUCCAAUCAUAGAGAAUGUCAGAUGUACAUGGAUUAGAGAUGACCAUUUACUAAGCCCAGGGCAUGCUCUGAAACUGAAGUAUUAAAAGUUAUGAUCUAAGAAAAUCUGUUUUAUUAUUUGCCUUUUUCUAUAAAACUUCAGUUGAAAUGAUUUGGGUGGAUAAGCAGAAGGGCCACUGCAGGAAACGGUAGCAAUGGCUGCUCGUGACGUGUAUAGACAAAAAAGGAUUGAUGAGACACAGGAAAAGGAGCAAACAAAAAGCUGAAAACAUAGCAAAACUCAGCCUAAAAAUGAAAACAUCCAGCCCCGUAAUCCAAAGGAAGGUUAGUAUCUCACAAGGGGCAGUCGAUAUAUUUUUAUCUUGUGGCUUCAUGUUUUUGCAGACGCAUUAAAUCAUAAAAAUCCAAGAAACUUUCUCACCCCUAAACCACACAGUGUAUUUUAAGGAAUGUGUCUCUUUUCUAAGAAACUGCUUGAUUUUCAGGAAGUGGCAAAGUGGCAGGUGUGUUCCCAUGAUCAGCCAAAGAAACCAAAUAAACGUUCCCCUGGCCAAACCUGUUUCUCACAGAUAAACAGCUGCUUGCUGCCUGGAGGAGGGACAAGGAACCAGAAGACUCCCUGUGUUGCCUGGCACUUCUAUUUUUUCUGUUUAAGUUGAAAAAGGAAGGAAGAUGGAAGCCUAUAAGCAUGCAGACCUACUCUAGUCAGGUCAAUCUUGAGCCCUGCAUAGGAUAGGUUUGCAAAAUCCCAGUUCUAGGCAGACACCCCAGGUCUUCUUCUCUAGUUAGGCAUGGAAACACAUGACUGAACUAGGAGCUGUAGGAAAUAGAUUUGACCUGAAAAAGCCAUCACUGCACAAUUACAAGCUAGGCCAAAG